This 253-nucleotide ribosomal RNA is filed under the name uncultured bacterium. RNAcentral's name for it is "partial 16S ribosomal RNA". It matches the Rfam family "Bacterial small subunit ribosomal RNA", at positions 524 to 776 of the family's 1533-position model. The record is from RNAcentral.
GACGUAGGGCGCGAGCGUUGUCCGGAUUUAUUGGGCGUAAAGAGCUCGUAGGCGGCUUGUUGCGUCGACUGUGAAAACCCGCGGCUUAACCGCGGGCUUGCAGUUGAUACGGGCAGGCUAGAGUUCGGUAGGGGAGACUGGAAUUCCUGGUGUAGCGGUGAAAUGCGCAGAUAUCAGGAGGAACACCGGUGGCGAAGGCGGGUCUCUGGGCCGAUACUGACGCUGAGGCACGAAAGCGUGGGGAUCAAACAGG